AAAGGAAUAGACGGGGGCCCGCACAAGCGGAGGAACAUGUGGUUUAAUUCGAUGAUACGCGAGGAACCUUACCCGGGUUUGAAUUGCUGAAUUUGCAUUUGGAGACAUUUGCUUCCCUUUUGGGUUUCAGUGAAGGUGCUGCAUGGUUGUCGUCAGCUCGUGCCGUGAGGUGUCGGCUUAAGUGCCAUAACGAGCGCAACCCUUGCCGUUAGUUGCCAUCGGGUCAUGCCGGGCACUCUAUUGGGACUGCCAUCGUAAGAUGUGAGGAAGGUGGGGAUGACGUCAAAUCAGCACGGCCCUUAUGUCCGGGGCGACACACGUGUUACAAUGGGGGGUACAGCGGGUUGCUACCUGGUGACAGGGUGCUAAUCUUUAAAACCUCUCUCAGUUCGGAUCGGAGUCUGAAACUCGACUCCGUGAAGCUGGAUUCGCUAGUAAUCGCGCAUCAGCCACGGCGCGGUGAAUACGUUCCCGGGCCUUGUACACACCGCCCGU
RNAcentral lists this ribosomal RNA (495 nucleotides) under uncultured bacterium. RNAcentral's name for it is "bacterial SSU rRNA". It matches the Rfam family "Bacterial small subunit ribosomal RNA", at positions 903 to 1397 of the family's 1533-position model. The record is from RNAcentral.